RNAcentral lists this long non-coding RNA (262 nucleotides) under Zostera marina. RNAcentral's name for it is "long non-coding RNA (ZMAR_LNC001035)". Lineage: Eukaryota; Viridiplantae; Streptophyta; Magnoliopsida; Alismatales; Zosteraceae. The record is from RNAcentral.
AAGCGAGUAAAAUACAAUUUUGAUAAUUAAAAUGGAAUAGACAGACAGAGUCAUAUAACUAACUAUAUAAGAUACACAAACUAACCACCAGUCAACAUACAAGACUAACUAUAUAAGGAGGAUCAAAACUCCAGUGUGAGAAUUAAGGAUGACGAGAAAUGAAAAAAGGCAAAACAGAACUUAAUUCACACUUAGCAGACAACCCAUUAAACAAGUUUAUUGAAACCAACACAACAAUUCUGAAUGAUAAAGCAUUCUGCUG